Molecule: non-coding RNA, 1458 nt
Organism: Pelodiscus sinensis (Chinese soft-shelled turtle)
Lineage: Eukaryota; Metazoa; Chordata; Testudines; Trionychidae
Source: RefSeq, a predicted model, not a curated record
AGCCAGGGAGCAGCUGGGCAUGAAGUCAGCCCUGUGGUGGUGCAAUGCAGCCUGGAGAGGUCUGCCAUUCCAAACGUGUUUAGCAGCUGCAUGGGUGGAGCCCAACUGAAGGUGACAGUGAGGAUAAGACUGGCACAGGGACCACGGGCAGCACCAGGCUAGAUCAGAUGCAGGGUCCUUCUCCUUUGCUGUCCUGUCCCAAAAGUGACCAGUAAAAGAUGCAAGGGAGGCAGGUGCAAGGACUGCUGCAAUAGGCAGUGGCAGUUUGCUGCCACGUGGUGGCUUUCUGGCCUGCAUGAGUGAUUGGCUCAUGCCCUAAAGCAGGACCGUUUGUAUCCAUCCAAAACAAAUCAGUGCAUUAAAAACUCCUCAGCAUCACAUCUGGAGGGGAUCUCAUUUGGGAUACAAACGUCCAACUGAUCUUGGAAUCCUGCUAUGUUCCUGGCCUCUGAGAUCACUGUGUUCCACAGACCAACUGUGUGUCCUCGGAAAACAGCCUUGUGGGCCUCCUGAUGGUCACAGAGUAAUAAUUUAGAAAGACCAGGAGUCAAGAUUAGCGCAGGGUCAAGGAUUUCAGUAGAACGUCAAGGCCAGGAUGAAUCCCAGCCAGAGGAUGGGGCUGGACACCUGAUAGGGAGCUAAGAGGUAGCAGGACAGAGAAGGCGAGAGAUCCGGGCAACUCCAGGCUGUCUGGCUGCCGGAGAGAAAGCAGAGGCUUCCCUAUUUACAUACUGCCUUCGGUGUCAGCUCAAAAAGGAUGUAUCAGAAAUAAAAGGUGUCCAGAAAAGAGCGACAAAAAUUAUUAGAGGUAUGAAGAGACCUGCAUAUGAGAAGAGAGCAGAAAGAUGAAGACUACCUGACUUAGAAGAAGUUGUACACAAUAAUGAAGGAUUUAGAUUAAAUUAGACAUUCCUGUUUCUCUCGUCUCAUAAAGAAAGAGCGAGGGGACAUCUAACGAAACUGAAAGACAACCCAUCUGAGACAGAGAGAGGAUGCAUAAAUAGUGCAUAAGUCACCCGAAGAACCCUUAUCAACACAUAUUAUCAAGCUCAGUGAGGGCGAUUCGUCAUCGGAACAGAAGUUAGUGGUGGCUUCUCCAACACCCGAGGUCUUCAGAUGAAGAGGUGAUGCCUUUCUGGAAGAGUUCCUUGGUAUGGGAAGUAGAAGGAUUGAUCUGAAUUCUGCUCUCCUACACGUGCGUGUGAGUAUCUGAGGAAGGAAUUUGCACCUGCCUGUGAAGUGCACUGGUCUCUUCACUACAAGGCACUACAGAGCUGCAAACUUAAGAGUCUCCAAAGGACACGCUGGCUGCUUCUGUUUAUAAGAUGUUCUGCACCUUCGCGAUGUAGUAGUUACUAAAGUAAUUAAAUGCAUCUUACUUAAAAGAUUCCCAAAGGCAACUCUAAUUCAAAGCCAGCCUCUUCUUUCACAAUAUUUUAGUUUUUUUAAAUGAAUAUG